This is a long non-coding RNA of Nicotiana tabacum (common tobacco), 513 nucleotides long. RefSeq lists it as uncharacterized. NCBI's taxonomy places the organism in Eukaryota, Viridiplantae, Streptophyta, Magnoliopsida, Solanales, Solanaceae. The record is from RefSeq and is a predicted model, not a curated record.
UCUCUUUCAUUCUACACAAAAAUCAUCUCUCGGGUUUCUUUUAAGAACUCUUAAAUGAUUCAAGGCAUAAUCAAAGGCGAACCUAGCUGAAUUUAACGUAAAGAAUCUCGUUACCAUCACUGAGUCAUUUGCCUUCUUGUUAUACUAAUUUUGGAGAUUCCGUUGAAGUGAAAUCACCAUAGAAGUGUAAGAACUCAAAAAACAUAGUUAGCCUUUCAAAAAGGCAUUAUGUUUAUGCCCACAAAUACAGAUAGAUCCGGUGACAUGCCUCUUCAAUAGGGUACCUGUUUCACCUGUUAGUUGUCGCACUCCACUUCUCCGGAGUAGCUGAACAGAAGUCGAUAGGUACUGGAGUACAUGUCUUUAUCAUUUUGGGUAUGAUGGGGCCCUGUCCCAACCAAGUUAUUGAUUGUGGAGGCUUGCAUACUAGUGUCCUGUGUGUAUAUAAAUGUUGGUUAUGACUAUGUUGGCAACGGUGGUGUAUAUAUAAAAUGUUAAAGUUUCUUCCACGGU